This 484-nucleotide ribosomal RNA is filed under the name uncultured bacterium. RNAcentral describes it as "partial 16S ribosomal RNA". It matches the Rfam family "Bacterial small subunit ribosomal RNA", at positions 28 to 523 of the family's 1533-position model. The record is from RNAcentral.
GACGAACGCUGGCGGCGUGCUUAACACAUGCAAGUCGAACGGAAAGGCCCUGCUUUUGUGGGGUGCUCGAGUGGCGAACGGGUGAGUAACACGUGAGUAACCUGCCCUUGACUUUGGGAUAACUUCAGGAAACUGGGGCUAAUACCGGAUAGGAGCUCCUGCUGCAUGGUGGGGGUUGGAAAGUUUCGGCGGUUGGGGAUGGACUCGCGGCUUAUCAGCUUGUUGGUGGGGUAGUGGCUUACCAAGGCUUUGACGGGUAGCCGGCCUGAGAGGGGGACCGGCCACAUGGGGACUGAGAUACGGCCCAGACUCCGACGGGAGGCAGCAGUGGGGAAUAUUGCACAAUGGGCGGAAGCCUGAUGCAGCAACGCCGCGUGCGGGAUGACGGCCUUCGGGUUGUAAACCGCUUUCGCCUGUGACGAAGCGUGAGUGACGGUAAUGGGUAAAGAAGCACCGGCUAACUACGUGCCAGCCGCCGCCGUAA